AGCGAACGCUGGCGGCAGGCUUAACACAUGCAAGUCGAACGCCCCGCAAGGGGAGUGGCAGACGGGUGAGUAACACGUGGGAACGUACCCUUUGGUUCGGAAUAACUUGGGGAAACUCAAGCUAAUACCGGAUAAGCCCUUAUGGGGAAAGGUUUACUGCGCGAAGGAUCGGCCCGCGUCUGAUUAGCUAGUUGGUGAGGUAAUGGCUCACCAAGGCGACGAUCAGUAGCCGGUCUGAGAGGAUGAUCAGCCACACAGGGACUGAGACACGGCCCAGACUCCUACGGGAGGCAGCAGUGGGGAAUAUUGGACAAUGGGGGCAACCCUGAUCCAGCCAUGCCGCGUGAGUGAUGAAGGCCUUAGGGUUGUAAAGCUCUUUUACCCGGGACGAUAAUGACUGUACCGGGAGAAUAAGCCCCGGCUAACUUCGUGCCAGCAGCCGCAGUAA
Molecule: ribosomal RNA, 448 nt
Filed under: uncultured bacterium
Lineage: Bacteria
Description: partial 16S ribosomal RNA
Rfam family: Bacterial small subunit ribosomal RNA
Source: RNAcentral